Molecule: non-coding RNA, 45 nt
Filed under: Schistosoma mansoni
Lineage: Eukaryota; Metazoa; Platyhelminthes; Trematoda; Strigeidida; Schistosomatidae
Also listed under: 1 other name
Source: RNAcentral
AUCCAGCUGACGAGUCCCGAAUAGGACGAAACGCGCGUCCCGGAU